This 414-nucleotide ribosomal RNA is filed under the name uncultured microorganism. RNAcentral's name for it is "bacterial SSU rRNA". It matches the Rfam family "Archaeal small subunit ribosomal RNA", at positions 459 to 872 of the family's 1478-position model. The record is from RNAcentral.
CAGCCGCCGCGGUAAUACCGGCGGCCCGAGUGGCGGUCACUAUUAUUGGGCUUAAAGCGUCCGUAGCCGGGUUGGGAAGUCCUCCGGGAAAUCUGGCCGCUUAACGGUCAGAAUGCCGGAGGAUACUCCCAGCCUAGGGAGCGGGAGAGGCCGAGGGUAUUCCCGGGGGAGGGGGGAAAUCCUGUAAUCCCGGGAGGACCACCUGUGGCGAAGGCGCUCGGCUGGAACGCGUCCGACGGUGAGGGACGAAGGCCAGGGGAGCGAACCGGAUUAGAUACCCGGGUAGUCCUGGCUGUAAACGAUGCGGACUUUGUGUCGGACAAGCUAUGAGCUUGUCCGGUGCCGGAGGGAAACCGUUAAGUCCGCCGCCUGGGGAGUACGGCCGCAAGGCUGAAACUUAAAGGAAUUGGCGGG